GAUGAACGCUGGCGGCGUGCCUAAUACAUGCAAGUCGAGCGAACGGACGAGAAGCUUGCUUCUCUGAUGUUAGCGGCGGACGGGUGAGUAACACGUGGAUAACCUACCUAUAAGACUGGGAUAACUUCGGGAAACCGGAGCUAAUACCGGAUAAUAUUUUGAACCGCAUGGUUCAAAAGUGAAAGACGGUCUUGCUGUCACUUAUAGAUGGAUCCGCGCUGCAUUAGCUAGUUGGUAAGGUAACGGCUUACCAAGGCAACGAUGCAUAGCCGACCUGAGAGGGUGAUCGGCCACCCUGGAGCUGAGACACGGUCCAGACUCCUACGGGAGGCAGCAGUAGGGAAUCUUCCGCAAUGGGCGAAAGCCUGACGGAGCAACGCCGCGUGAGUGAUGAAGGUCUUCGGAUCGUAAAACUCUGUUAUUAGGGAAGAACAUAUGUGUAAGUAACUGUGCACAUCUUGACGGUACCUAAUCAGAAAGCCACGGCUAACUACGUG
Molecule: ribosomal RNA, 497 nt
Filed under: uncultured bacterium
Lineage: Bacteria
Description: partial 16S ribosomal RNA
Rfam family: Bacterial small subunit ribosomal RNA
Source: RNAcentral